UACGUAGGGGGCAAGCGUUGUCCGGAUUUAUUGGGCGUAAAGAGCGUGUAGGCGGCGAGGUAGGUCAGCUGUGAAAACUCGAGGCUCAACCUCGAGACGCCGGUUGAAACCAUCUGGCUAGAGUCCGGAAGAGGAGAGUGGAAUUCCUAGUGUAGCGGUGAAAUGCGCAGAUAUUAGGAAGAACACCGGUGGCGAAGUCGGCUCUCUGGAACGGUACUUACGCUGAGACGCGAAAGCGUGGGGAGCGAACAGG
RNAcentral lists this ribosomal RNA (253 nucleotides) under uncultured bacterium. Its description in RNAcentral is "partial 16S ribosomal RNA". It matches the Rfam family "Bacterial small subunit ribosomal RNA", at positions 524 to 776 of the family's 1533-position model. The record is from RNAcentral.